RNAcentral lists this small RNA (73 nucleotides) under Klebsiella quasipneumoniae subsp. similipneumoniae. Its description in RNAcentral is "partial RtT sRNA". It matches the Rfam family "RtT RNA", at positions 1 to 73 of the family's 130-position model. From Rfam's summary of the family: This family represents a bacterial cis-regulatory element known as RtT RNA. The exact function of RtT is unknown although it is thought that it may be involved in changing the cellular response in relation to amino acid starvation. The record is from RNAcentral. Lineage: Bacteria; Pseudomonadati; Pseudomonadota; Gammaproteobacteria; Enterobacterales; Enterobacteriaceae. RNAcentral also lists the same sequence under 1 other name.
UAUUCUGCCCUACGGGGAAGGAUGAGAAGCUUCGACUAAGGUUCGACUCGAGCGUAGCGAGAGAACGUUGCCG